CAAAUAUUGAUUUAAAGCUUUAUAACUCAUGCUCAUCUUAAUCAUACUUCCAGUUUCAGAGAAAAUGUACAUUACCACGUGCCUCUAAUGUUAUAAAUCACAAUGAUUGAUUAUUUUAUAUCAAUUUGAAAUGAGUUUUUGUUGUGUAAUUUGUUUUACUGAACGUUACCUCUUAUUUUGUUGCAGCAAAAUAAAUUUUGGAAGAUGUGGAUGGCAAAUUUAUGGUAGGAUCCGAUAACGAGAACGUUAUGGACAAUAUGAACAUAGUGGAAGAUGAAAAAUUAGGACGAGAUGGUGCGAUUGUUCCCGAGGUGGGUAUGAAGUUUAAGGAUGAAAAAGAAAUGUUUGAGUUUUACAAAAGAUAUGCUUAUAACGUAGGUUUCCCAGUUAGAAAGAGAAAUUCCAAGAAGGGGGAUGAUGGAGUUGUGAGGUAUGUUACAUUUACAUGUAGCCAUGAAGGUCGAAGAAGCAUUAAGAAGCCUCAAGCAACCAUUCCUACAGGUUGUAAAGCUAGGCUGGCUGCAUCUGCAGAUAUUGAUGGAACUUGGAAAAUUACUGUAAUCCAUCUUGACCACAAUCAUAAAAUAAGUUCUUUCAAGUCCAGGUUGUAUCGAUGCAACCGAGAGCUGAGUGCACAUCUGAAACGAAGGCCUGAAGUGUAUGAUAUGACAAAAAAUCCAUUGCACAAAAGUUGCACUUCUGUAGUUCUUGAAGCAGGUGGAGGUGAAAAUAUGACUUAUGUGAAAAAGGAUUGUCGAAACUAUAUUGAACAAGUGAGGCAGUUACGAAUUGGAGAAGGAGAUGCUGCAGCAAUACAGUCCUACUUUUCAAAAAUACAAGCACAGUGCUCAGAAUUUUAUUUUAGCAUGGAUUUGGAUGAGGAGUCGCGGCUAAAAAAUGUAUUUUGGGCAGAUAAUAGGAGCAGACAAGCAUAUAAAGAGUUUGGCGAUGUUGUUACAUUUGAUACCACUUAUCUCACUAAUAAGUACGACACGCCUUUCGUCCCUUUUGUUGGAGUGAAUCACCACGGGCAAUCAAUACUGCUUGGAUGUGGUUUGGUAUCGAAUGAGGAUACAGAUACUUUUGUGUGGUUGUUUAAGACAUGGCUACAGUGUAUGCACGGUCAAGCCCCCCAUGGAAUAAUUACCAAUCAAGAUAGGACUAUGCAAAAUGCAAUUCAGAUCGUGUUUCCGAAUUCGAAGCAUAGAUGGUGUUUAUGGCACAUAUUGAAGAAGUGGUCAGAAAAGUUUGGCUACCACGUGGAUAAGAGUUCGAUAUUUUCGGUUAUGCACGUAUUGGUGUAUGAUUCACAAACUGUUGAAGAAUUUGAAGAAGGUUGGAGAGCGAUGAUUGAUACGUAUGACUUGCAUAACAAUGUUUGGUUGUCGGGAUUGUACGAGAAUCGAGAUCGUUGGGUUCCUUGCUUUUCAAAAACCACUUUUUGGCCAGGAAUGUCAACAACACAAAGCAGUGAGAGUAUGACUUCGUUCUUUGAUGGAUAUUUGCAUCCAAAGACCUCGUUGAAACAGUUUUUUGAACAGUAUGAACGAGCAUUGAGGAAUAAAGUUGAGAAGGAGUAUCAAGCAGAUUUCAAGUCAUACUUUCAAAUGGUACCAUGUGCAACAAAGUAUGAAAUGGAGAAGCAAUUUCAUGCAAUUUAUACCAUUUCAAAAUUCAAGGAAUUUCAAGAUGAGUUCAUUGGGAAGAUUUAUUGCGAAGUCAUAUCUGCUUCGGAGGGAUUUUUGGGGACGACGUACGAGGUAAGAGAGGAUGUCAUAAAUGACGAGCGAGUUAAGAAAAGAAUAUUUUCAGUCUCAUUUCGGAGAGAGAACUGUGACAUUAUUUGCAGUUGCCAUUUAUUCGAGUUUCUAGGAAUAAUUUGCAGGCAUGCGAUCUCAGUCUUGAUUCGUAAUGACAUCACAUCGUUGCCGGAGAAAUAUAUGUUGAGGAGAUGGAGGAGAGAUGUUAGUAGAUCCCACACGAGGGUCGCAGUCAUCUACGGUACUCCUAGACAAUUGAGAUAUGACAAAAUGUGUCGAGCUUUUGCCGAGUUGGCAGACCUUGUUGCAGACGAUGAAGAGCAAACACGUGCUAUUAUGGACUGGAUCGAAUUUCAAUCUAAAGAGCUAAGGAUGACAAAGUCUAGAAGUGGAUGUAAUGUUGAUGAGAACAGUAUCUCCUAGCUUUGUUUUGGGCUAUUUAUGAUUAUGCCUUAUUUUCAAUUGGGUUGUAUUAAUGGGCUGGCCUGAGGCCCCCUUCACUUUAGGGUCUUAAUUUUUGUACAAGUUGGCUUGUUUUGAAAGUUGGAAGCCAGACUAUGAAUGAAUGAAAAUGCUUGAUGCACAUGUCUAUCCCCUUUCUCCCUGAGAUUCUUUUUCUUCUGGCCUUCUUCUUCUGCUGCUGCUGCUGCUGCUUUGCUUUUCUUCUGCUGCUUCUCUUCUGCUGAAUACUUCAAUUGACACCACAUCAAUGCAUAAUAUGUUUGCUUGAUUAUAGAUGGCUUCUAAGCCCUGCCAUUGAUAUCAAUAUUGUUGGUAUCAGGCAUUUAUUUUAAGACUUCUAGUGGCUUCAGUGGUCUUUCUUUUUGUUUGUUGUUUUGGACAUCAGGUGGAUCUUGUAAUAAUAUCUUUGACGUGUACUUACUUUCACCUUUUGUUUUACAAAGCAUGUGCAUGGGAACUACAGGGAGCACACUCUUGAGUCUGAUCUUGAAUAUUCAGUGG
RNAcentral lists this long non-coding RNA (2723 nucleotides) under Olea europaea subsp. europaea. Lineage: Eukaryota; Viridiplantae; Streptophyta; Magnoliopsida; Lamiales; Oleaceae. The record is from RNAcentral.